Molecule: ribosomal RNA, 227 nt
Filed under: uncultured bacterium
Lineage: Bacteria
Description: partial 16S ribosomal RNA
Rfam family: Bacterial small subunit ribosomal RNA
Source: RNAcentral
AGUAACGCGUGAGGAACCUGCCUCAAAGAGGGGACGAACAGUUGGAAGCGACUGCUAAUACCGCAUAAGCCCACGGCUCGGCAUCGAGCAGAGGGAAAAGGAGUGAUCCGCUUUGAGAUGGCCUCGCGUCCGAUUAGCUAGUUGGUGAGGUAACGGCCCACCAAGGCGACGAUCGGUAGCCGGACUGAGAGGUUGAACGGCCACAUUGGGACUGAGACACGGCCCAG